AAACUCCUACGGGAGGCAGCAGUAGGGAAUCUUCGGCAAUGGACGAAAGUCUGACCGAGCAACGCCGCGUGAGUGAAGAAGGUUUUCGGAUCGUAAAACUCUGUUGUUAGAGAAGAACGUUGCAUAGAGUGGAAAAUUAUGCAAGUGACGGUAUCUAACCAGAAAGGGACGGCUAACUACGUGCCAGCAGCCGCGGUAAUACGUAGGUCCCGAGCGUUGUCCGGAUUUAUUGGGCGUAAAGCGAGCGCAGGUGGUUUAAUAAGUCUGAUGUAAAAGGCAGUGGCUCAACCAUUGUGUGCAUUGGAAACUGUUAGACUUGAGUGCAGUAGAGGAGAGUGGAAUUCCAUGUGUAGCGGUGAAAUGCGUAGAUAUAUGGAGGAACACCGGUGGCGAAAGCGGCUCUCUGGACUGUCACUGACACUGAGGCUCGAAAGCGUGGGUAGCAAACAGGAUUAGAUACCCUGGUAGUCCACGCCGUAAACGAUGAGUGCUAGUUGUUUGGGGCUAUCCAGCCCUAAGUGACGCAGCAAACGCAUUAAGCACUCCGCCUGGGGAGUACGACCGCAAGGUUGAAACUCAAAGGAAUUGACGGGGGCCCGCACAAGCGGUGGAGCAUGUGGUUUAAUUCGAAGCAACGCGAAGAACCUUACCAGGUCUUGACAUACUCGUGCUAUUCCUAGAGAUAGGAAGUUCCUUCGGGACACGGGAUACAGGUGGUGCAUGGUUGUCGUCAGCUCGUGUCGUGAGAUGUUGGGUUAAGUCCCGCAACGAGCGCAACCCCUAUUGUUAGUUGCCAUCAUUAAGUUGGGCACUCUAGCGAGACUGCCGGUAAUAAACCGGAGGAAGGUGGGGAUGACGUCAAAUCAUCAUGCCCCUUAUGACCUGGGCUACACACGUGCUACAAUGGUUGGUACAACGAGUCGCAAGGCAGUGAUGUCAAGCUAAUCUCUUAAAGCCAAUCUCAGUUCGGAUUGUAGGCUGCAACUCGCCUACAUGAAGUCGGAAUCGCUAGUAAUCGCGGAUCAGCACGCCGCGGUGAAUACGUUCCCGGGCCUUGUACACACCGCCCGUCACACCACGAGAGUUUGUAAUACCCAAAGCCGGUGAGCUAACCUUUUAGGAGGCAGCCGUCUAAGGUAGGAUAGAUGAUUGGGGUGAAGUCGUAACAAGGUAGCCGUAUCGGAAGGUGCGGCUGGAUCACCUCCUUU
This 1208-nucleotide ribosomal RNA is filed under the name Pseudolactococcus raffinolactis. RNAcentral describes it as "bacterial SSU rRNA". It matches the Rfam family "Bacterial small subunit ribosomal RNA", at positions 333 to 1533 of the family's 1533-position model. The record is from RNAcentral. Lineage: Bacteria; Bacillati; Bacillota; Bacilli; Lactobacillales; Streptococcaceae.